GAUGAACGCUGGCGGCGUGCCUAAUACAUGCAAGUCGAGCGAACAGACGAGGAGCUUGCUCCUCUGACGUUAGCGGCGGACGGGUGAGUAACACGUGGAUAACCUACCUAUAAGACUGGGAUAACUUCGGGAAACCGGAGCUAAUACCGGAUAAUAUAUUGAACCGCAUGGUUCAAUAGUGAAAGACGGUUUUGCUGUCACUUAUAGAUGGAUCCGCGCCGCAUUAGCUAGUUGGUAAGGUAACGGCUUACCAAGGCAACGAUGCGUAGCCGACCUGGGAGGGGGAUCGGCCACACUGGAGCUGAGACACGGUCCAGAGUCCUACGGGAGGCAGCAGUAGGGAAUCUUGCGCAAUGGGCGAAAGCUUGACGGAGCAACGCCGCGUGAGUGAUGAAGGGCUUCGGAUCGUAAAACUCUGUUAUUAGGGAAGAACAAAUGUGUAAGUAACUAUGCACGUCUUGACGGUACCGAAGCAGAAAGCCACGGCUAACUACGU
RNAcentral lists this ribosomal RNA (496 nucleotides) under uncultured bacterium. Its description in RNAcentral is "partial 16S ribosomal RNA". It matches the Rfam family "Bacterial small subunit ribosomal RNA", at positions 28 to 506 of the family's 1533-position model. The record is from RNAcentral.